Molecule: ribosomal RNA, 473 nt
Filed under: uncultured bacterium
Lineage: Bacteria
Description: bacterial SSU rRNA
Rfam family: Bacterial small subunit ribosomal RNA
Source: RNAcentral
UCGCAAUGCCCGAAAGGGUGACGAAGCGACGCCGCGUGGGUGAGGAAGGCCUUCGGGUUGUAAAGCCCUGUCAGGAGUUAAGAAAUGUAGACUCGCUAACAUCGGGUCUAUUUGACAAAGGCUCCAAAGGAAGCCACGGCUAACUCUGUGCCAGCAGCCGCGGUAAUACAGAGGUGGCAAGCGUUGUUCGGAAUUAUUGGGCGUAAAGAGCACGUAGGUGGAUUUGUAAGUCAGACGUGAAAGCCUUCUGUUCAACGGAAGAAUUGCAUCUGAAACUACAAACCUUGAGUGUAGGAGGGGAGAAUGGAACUUCUGGUGGAGCGGUGAAAUGCGUAGAUAUCAGAAGGAACGCCGGCGGCGAAAGCGAUUCUCUGGCCUAUUACUGACACUCAGUGUGCGAAAGCUAGGGGAGCAAACGGGAUUAGAUACCCCGGUAGUCCUAGCCGUAAACGAUGGGCACUAAGUAGAGGGGU